AUUGAACGCUGGCGGCAGGCCUAACACAUGCAAGUCGAGCGGAUGAAGGGAGCUUGCUCCUGGAUUCAGCGGCGGACGGGUGUGUAAUGCCUAGGAAUCUGCCUGGUAGUGGGGGAUAACGUCCGGAAACGGGCGCUAAUACCGCAUACGUCCUGAGGGAGAAAGUGGGGGUUCUUCGGACCUCACGCUAUCAGAUGAGCCUAGGUCGGAUUAGCUAGUUGGUGGGGUAAAGGCCUACCAAGGCGACGAUCCGUAACUGGUCUGAGAGGAUGAUCAGUCACACUGGAACUGAGACACGGUCCAGACUCCUACGGGAGGCAGCAGUGGGGAAUAUUGGACAAUGGGCGAAAGCCUGAUCCAGCCAUGCCGCGUGUGUGAAGAAGGUCUUCGGAUUGUAAAGCACUUUAAGUUGGGAGGAAGGGCAGUAAGUUAAUACCUUGCUGUUUUGACGUUACCAACAGAAUAAGCACCGGCUAACUUCGUG
Molecule: ribosomal RNA, 484 nt
Filed under: uncultured bacterium
Lineage: Bacteria
Description: partial 16S ribosomal RNA
Rfam family: Bacterial small subunit ribosomal RNA
Source: RNAcentral